UACGGGGGGGGCAAGCGUUGUUCGGAAUUACUGGGCGUAAAGGGCUCGUAGGCGGCCAACUAAGUCAGAUGUGAAAUCCCUCGGCUUAACCGGGGAACUGCGUCUGAUACUGGAUGGCUUGAGUUUGGGAGAGGGAUGCGGAAUUCCAGGUGUAGCGGUGAAAUGCGUAGAUAUCUGGAGGAACACCGGUGGCGAAGGCGGCAUCCUGGACCAACACUGACGCUGAGUGAGCGAAAGCUAGGGGAGCAAACAGG
RNAcentral lists this ribosomal RNA (254 nucleotides) under uncultured bacterium. Its description in RNAcentral is "partial 16S ribosomal RNA". It matches the Rfam family "Bacterial small subunit ribosomal RNA", at positions 524 to 776 of the family's 1533-position model. The record is from RNAcentral.